AUGGCGGAUUACGCCCCUCCCCCGGAGGACCAGGCGCUGGAGCUGGGGCUCUACCUCGCGCUCGCUCUGCCCGGAGGCCUCGUCGCCUGGGUUCCCGCCAAGGCGCGCGCCGUCGCCAGGUGGCUAUCCGGGGGCCGGCGCGCUGCUCCGGAGGCGGACGGAGCCGAUCCGAUCCGGGGGGUUCCUCCCGGCCGCACCCCGAGCCUCCUCGACCGCGCCGAGGUGGCCGCGGUGAGCGCCGCCCUCUGCGUCGCCCUCGUCGCCGGGAUCCACCCGAUCCCCUCUCUCGUGCAGCGCCGAGCGGACUCGUCGGACUCCGACGAGGAGGAGGUGCAGAGCGGACACCACAGCGACCGGCACGUCUGGUACCCACCCAUAGAGUCCCUCCAAGCAGGGGAUCGCCGUCUCUUCUUCCCCGGCUUGACUGCCUCGGCCCGACAGCUUCCCGACGCUCGACAAGGCGACGACCUUCUGCACAGACUGUCAGAUGUAGAGAACCCGUUGAUCCUCACGCCAAGCACAGAACGGUUUUCAGGUCCAUGUGAGUUGACCAAUGAAACAACAAGGACUUGGGUCAUGAGGCUCAAAAUUACUACCAAACUUGUUUGUUUAUGUAAGCGGCAAUUACAUGAGCAGAAUCAGGAAUUGGCUGAAGAAUGCUUUGCAGUGGUAGCCAAGCAAUCUGUAGAGCAGAUCCUUGAGGUUGCAUGUUCAUUCACUGAUGCAACUUGGUCUGAUGCCCACAUUUCUCAACAACUGACUGUUUUUGACACAGUUGUUGAUGUCCUAUUCAAUGUACAAGGCCUGCGUUUCAGCGGGUCUGGUGAGGUUGCUGGUAUUAUCAAUAAGAUGGUGAAUGCUUUCAAAGGAGUAAUUCAGAGGACUUCAAAUGACAUCCGUAGCAACAAGGAAUCUAUUAUUCAUCCUGCAACUUUUAUUCUCAUACAAGUCCUGGAAUUUUUCCGCCGUAACAGAGAUAUGAUCCAGUCAAUACUUGAAUCUGGAGGUUACAACACUGGCCCAUGCUCUGACAUGUUAGAUUGUUUGGUAUCUAAGCUCAAGUGGGCAGAAAAAAGUUUCCAAAAAAAGGGGCAAAGGUGCAUAUUCUUCUUGAAUAACAUAAAUUAUGUUUUGCAAAAGAAUUGCCAUUCAGGGUUACUCCCUCCCAAUGUAGAGAGUAAUUUAGUUUCACUGAUUGACCAGUACAUCGUGAGCUACCUUGAGAAAUACUGGGUUCCACUCCUGAGAUAUUUGGAUGGGGAUUCUCUGAGGAAGCCACGCCGUUUGUCCUUGGAUAAAUUUACUGGAGAGUUCUUUACUAUCUGUUAUAGCCAGAUGACUUGGAAGGUUCAGACUGUGCUCAAGGGGAGACUGCGUCAAGAGAUAGUGGAUUUGAUUGUUCCAAAAUAUGUGAACUUCUUGAGAGCACUACAGGAAAAUCCAAGAUCUUGGUUCGACAGGAUCAGCCGAGAGAAACCGAUGUGUCCCGCAGCGGAACUGGAGCAGGUGAUCAGAGGAUUAUUUGAAAGAUAG
RNAcentral lists this ribosomal RNA (1533 nucleotides) under Triticum aestivum (bread wheat). RNAcentral's name for it is "partial small subunit ribosomal RNA". Lineage: Eukaryota; Viridiplantae; Streptophyta; Magnoliopsida; Poales; Poaceae. The record is from RNAcentral.